Molecule: ribosomal RNA, 494 nt
Filed under: uncultured bacterium
Lineage: Bacteria
Description: partial 16S ribosomal RNA
Rfam family: Bacterial small subunit ribosomal RNA
Source: RNAcentral
GACGAACGCUGGCGGCGUGCUUAACACAUGCAAGUCGAACGGAAAGGCCUGCUUUCCCUUGUGGAUUGCGGGUACUCGAGUGGCGAACGGGUGAGUAACACGUGAGUGAUCUGCCCCCAACUUGGGUAUAAGCCUGGGAAACUGGGUCUAAUUCCCGAUAGGACUGCAGGGUGGUGCCUGUGGUGGAAAACGAUUUUCUAGUGGUUGGGGAUGAGCUCGCGGCCUAUCAGCUUGUUGGUGGGGUAAUGACCUACCAAGGCGGCGACGGGUAGCCGGCCUGAGAGGGUGGACGGGCACAUUGGGACUGAGAUACGGCCCAGACGCCUACGGGAGGCAGCAGUGGGGAAGAUUGCACAAUGGGCGGAAGCCUGAUGCAGCGACGCCGCGUGGGGGAUGACGGCCUUCGGGUUGUAAACUCCUUGCGACCGCGAGGAAGCCACCUGGUUGGAAGGGUGGUGACGGUAGUGGUAGAAGAAGCACCGGCUAACUACGUG